Molecule: ribosomal RNA, 253 nt
Filed under: uncultured bacterium
Lineage: Bacteria
Description: partial 16S ribosomal RNA
Rfam family: Bacterial small subunit ribosomal RNA
Source: RNAcentral
UACAGAGGUCCCAAGCGUUACUGAGAAUCACUGGGUUUAAAGGGUGCGUAGGUGGUCCGUUAAGUUUGUUGUGAAAUCCCCGGGCUCAACCCGGGAAUUGCUUCGAAUACUGGCGGACUUGAGGCCUGUAGGGGUCACUGGAACAGACGGUGGAGCGGUGAAAUGCGUAGAUAUCGUCUGGAACGCCUGUGGUGAAGACGGGUGACUGGGCAGGUUCUGACACUGAGGCACGAAAGCGUGGGGAGCGAACGGG